AUACGUAGGGGGCGAGCGUUGUCCGGAAUGAUUGGGCGUAAAGGGCGCGUAGGCGGCGCGGUAAGUCUGGAGUGAAAGUCCUGCUUUCAAGGUGGGAAUUGCUUUGGAUACUGCCGCGCUUGAGUGCAGGAGAGGUUAUCGGAAUUCCCGGUGUAGCGGUGAAAUGCGUAAAGAUCGGGAGGAACACCAGUGGCGAAGGCGGGUAACUGGACUGCAACUGACGCUGAGGCGCGAAAGUGUGGGGAGCAAACAGGAUUAGAUACCCUGGUAGUCCACACUGUAAACGAUGAAUGCUAGGUGUAAGAGGUAUCGACCCCUUUUGUGCCGGAGUCAACACAAUAAGCAUUCCGCCUGGGGAGUACGGCCGCAAGGUUGAAACUCAAAGGAAUUGACGGGG
This 397-nucleotide ribosomal RNA is filed under the name uncultured bacterium. Its description in RNAcentral is "partial 16S ribosomal RNA". It matches the Rfam family "Bacterial small subunit ribosomal RNA", at positions 523 to 918 of the family's 1533-position model. The record is from RNAcentral.